AGGGUAAGGAGUCUCAGACUCCGGAAUCUCAUCCAUUAUGCCUCCGUAAGGACUAAUGAUAAGCUGCACCGCCUCAGGUUCCUCCUCGUAAAACCUUUGCCACCGACCUUCUAAUGCAGUUUCAGGAAUAGAUUCCUUAACAUAGUCCGAUUUCCCUUUGAAGAACACCGAUCUACCUGUCCUGUUAAGCAAAAUAUCUAACGAUUCACUUUGUGGGAUAUCUACAAAGUAGAGGAUACUUUGGAUCCAGCUCAUUUCAGUACAGUCUUCUUUGACUAUUCCAAGCUCUGGAAAGCUUUCUUGCAUCAACACAAGUAGUUGAUCAAUUCUACCAAGAAACAAGCUAGUGAAAGAAGCUUGUAUUGUUCUUUUUCCUUCUUGUUGGCUUGAAUUCACAGCUUUUAAAAAGAGUCUGAGGUACAAAUCUUCGUGAAUCUUUGGUGCUACUGAUUGCCACUUGUGAACAAGCAUUGUUCCAUUCUCUUCCAAUGUCCUGUUCACUGUAAAUACAGUCACAGUUGAUGGAACAGAAACUAACUUUACUUUCCACGACACAAUGACCCCGAAACUGGCUGCCCCACCUCCUCGAAUGGCCCAAAAUAGAUCUUCCCCCAUAGAGUUUCUAUCAAGAAGUCUGCCAUCAACAUCAACCAAGUGUGCAUCAAUUAUUUGAUCAGCAGCAAGGCCAAACUUGCGUAUCAUCAUGCCAUAACCUCCCCCGCCAAAGUGACCGCCAACACCCACAGUGGGGCAAACACCAGCUGGGAAGGCAAGAGUUGAGCUUUUCUCUGCAAUUCUGUAAUAUAAUUCACCUAUAGUGGCACCGGCUUGAAUCCAUGCGGUUUUAUUUUCUGCAUCAACAUCGAUUGAUCGUAAAUUAAUCAAAUCAAUGAUUACAAAUGGAACUUGAGAUACGUAGGAAAGACCCUCGUAGUCAUGACCACCGCUCCGUAUUCUAAUCUGCAUGUCAUGAAUUCUUGAGCAUUUAAUGGUUGCUUGGAUAUGGGAGACGUGGGUGGGCGUAACUAUGACUAAAGGUUCGGGGGUUGUUGGUGUAGAAAACCGAGCAUUCCGAAUAGAAAAAUCCAAGACAGAUGAAAAUGAAGAGUUGUUUUGAGCAUAAAUGAGUUUGGAGAAGGAAGAGGCAUCGCCAGAAUGCAGGGUAAGGCAUUGGAGGAAGUUGUCGUGACGGUGAAUUUCAGCCAAAGUUAGCCAUGAAAAUGAGAAGAGAAGAGGCAUUGCGAGAUUAGCGGUAGUUCACUUCAUUUGAGUUACAGGACUUUGUGCUUGAGAGAAUUGGCAGACCCGCCCUCGCUUUUUCUGACCAUUCCCCUGUAUGAAAUGUAACUUCCAUUUUUUCAUUUCGUUUCACAUUUUUUUUUGUGUCGGCUAGAUAUUUCUGUCUCAUUUAUAUGCCCAUAUUUGAUUUUUUUUUUUUGAAGGAAAUAAAAUUCAUUAGAUUCGUGAAUAAUUUUGAUUACAGUCCUCACGCACCGUUUCAAUUAUUACAAUAGGACAAACCUCAAUCCAAUGUUCAUCUCUGUCUAACUGCACUCCAUUGGUUGCUAAUUGAUAACUAUGCCCAUAUUUGAUUUUUUUUUUUUUUUUUAAACAAACUCAACUGGAUUAUUAUUUUUAAGAUAUUUUAUUAAAUUAAAAUUUUAAAAAUAUAGUUUGAGAAAUUUGAAACUCAAACAUCUUAAAUCUUAUUUUAAAAUUUAAAAUUUUAUUAUUUUAUUAAAAUUAAUAGUCAAAGUCGAAUUUAUUUGACUUAAAAAUCAAUUAAAGUAAUUGGUUUGUAGGUCUGGUAGAAAAAUGGAAAGACAGGAAAUUAAAGGAGAAAAGUAUAGAGAUAAAAACAUUUUUUUUCAUUGGCGUGUUUGAUAUAAAAGAUAAGAAAAUUUAAAAAAUAAUAAAUUUUUUUAUACGUUACUGGAUAGAAUGAAAAAAUAAAAAAUAAGUUAUUUUAUUUUAUUUUAUAAUUAAAGUAACUAGCAUGUUUAAUCAUUAAAAUUUUGUAAUUUUCUAUUUUACUCAUCUAGCUAUAAAAAGUCACGGUUUGAUCACAAACGUUUAUAAAAUUUAAUUUUUUGUUCACUAAACCAUUAGAGAUUAUGAAUUGGCUGGCGUGGUAUUUACACUUCGUUUAGCAUUCUCUAUGUAGUAUUAUCGAAGUGGUAUUAUAAAAUUUGAAAAAAAUAAGAUUUAAAAAAGGAAAAUGGAAAUUACACUUUUGAUCAAUUAAGUAUUCAGAAGCUUUUAUUUUAAUCAUUCAAUUUUGAAAAAUUCAAAAUUUGGUUGUUAACAUUCGUAAAAUUUAUUAAUUUUUUAUCUUCAUUAUCAACUACUCGUUUGUUAGUGUAAUUUUACAACGAUUUGGUUGGCAACAUUUACAAAAUAAUAGCUUGAUUAGAUUCUUAUUGAUGAUCAUGCCACUCUAGUUAAAAAGAUAUAUGACUAAUGUUUUAUGCAACAAGUUUUUAGAGAAGUUAAAGUUUUAUUGUCACAACAAACAUUAUCCGAAAGGUUCUAUUACUGAAAGAUAUUUAACAAAAGAGUGUAUGACAUUUUGUUCUCAUUAUUUAGAAGAUAUUGAAACGGGAUUUAACAAACCAUCAAAAAAUGUUGGCAUGCAGCAUACUGACUCUCUCUACAAUUAUCCUUUUCAAAGUUUUGGACAACCAAUAAGCAAAAUUGAAAUGAUGGAGGUAGAUGAUAAAUAUUGGGUACAAGCACAUUUAUAUGUUUUUUUUUUUUCAUUAUGACUCUAUUGAAUCAUUUCGCAUGUAAAUUUUUUAGCAAGAAAAUUACUCGUUACAUUAAGCAUAAUUUAUUGUAUUUUUUUAUUGUUAAUACUUUAUCAUGAUACUUUGUAGUAGUAUAGAAAUAAUUUGAGAGCUUCUACACAUUAUCGAUGAUCAAACCUCGAGAGUUUGAUAAGUAGUUCGUCAAAAACUUUCAUGAAUAGUUAGGAGCAACUGUAAGUAAUGUCAUACUUCCUAUUAUGAGAAAUCUACAAAGAAUGUUUAUGGUAUAACUAACAUUAAUAAUAUAUAUAUAUUUAUUCCCCUUUUAUAAGUUUGGAGUGGAAGGCUUGUUAAUGAAGAGGUGAAGUGUCUUUUACAAAGUCUGAACAGGAUUGUGAAACGAUACAAAAGUUUCAUCAUCAAUGAUUUAGAUUUUAUACUAAAUCUCGUAAGAGAUUUAGAAGUACACAAAAUUCAAGAGUUGUUGUUACUUCAUCAAAUACUAACUAUGCUAGUGUUAGCGACACAAAUCCUUUAGAGGAAAAUGUUGACUAUAAUGGCAUGAUUAAUGACAUUAUUGAGUUGGAUUGUUAUGGCAAGUAAAAAGUUAUCUUAUUUCAGUGUGAUUAGGUUGAUGUGAAUAGUGCGAGGGAUAUUAAGAAAGAUUAGUAUGGAUUUACACUUGUGAAUUUUUUUCGAUUAAUUCAUAUUGGACAACAACUCAUCGAUGAAUCUUAUGUUUUUUUAUCUCAAAUCAAACAAGUUUUUUAUUUUGAAGAUCCCAAUAAUUGGGUUGGUUUAUUAUUUUUUGAAACACACCUACAGAGUUAUUUGAUAUGAGAUUAGAUACAAAAUAUGAUGUUGAACAUGGAACUAAAUGUUAUCAUUUUGUUUAACAAAACUUGGAUGAAAAUAUCUCUAGUACCUAUGCUUAAUGGGUCCACAAAGAUGUUAAUGAAAAUAUUUAUGAACCAUGAUGGAUCAUUUAUAUUUUGUAAUUUGUGUGUUUAAGACAUAAUGUAGUAAAUGAUAUGUAUAAAAAAUUGUCACAUUCGCUAUUGUAUAUUUAUUGUAUUGUAAAUCAUACAUUAUAUUUUGAUAUAAUUAAAUCGAUACAUUCUUUAUAUAUUGAAGGUUAUGAUUUCUUAACUUCUCAAUGCCUUUAUAUAUGUUCUAAACUAAUAUCUUUUAUAUAUUCGCUUUUAUGAUAUAGGUAAGCUACAAUACGAAGGAGUAAUUGAAAAGAAUACAUAUCAAAGAUAUUAGUUUAGAACCAUCUACGACACCUAUUGAUAUUGGCUAUAGACUGAAUCUUUUAAAGAGGAAUGAACAUACUAUUAGAUCUAACUCAAUUACUUUUAACCCUUAAACUGAUAUUGGAUAUGACAAUACGGAAGGUCAAGGUUUAGAUAGUAUUUUAUCAAUUGAUUAUGCUUUAAAUUUGAAUGCAAGUAUCAUAUACCCUAUAUUUAGAAUUUGAUUAUAAUGAUAAAUGUAUUGCCAUUUUACAAAUUUAUUUUUUAUUUUUUGCAGUUGAUGACAAUGGUCAACGGAGGACCAGAGGCUGAACAACUUUGAAGGAAUUGUUUGCACUACCUUCGAAUAAGCCUAUUAUAAUGUCUGCAAACUUUGAUAAGCAACCAAUUAGUUAAGAGGCUCAAUUAUUGGCUGGAUUUCUAGGUAUAUUUGCUCAUAAUGGAAUGAAAUUGCCUAUUCAUUAUGAAACAUGGCAUAAAGUUUUAGCAGAAGUUAAGGUCGAUGCUUUAAACUUUAUUGAGGUAUUAAUAUAAUUAAUUACAUAUAAAAAAAUAAUUAUUUUAAAUUUAGUUUAUUGAUUAAAACUUUUCUUUUUGUAUUAUUACAAUUAAGAUUUGUACUUGAAAUACCAACUUCAUUUGUGCUUAAGUCAUUGGUAAAGAAAUGGAAAGAUUAUAAGCAUAAUUUGAAGAAUAAGUAUUUCGAUUGAAAUACUACUGUAGAGACAAUGAUGAAAAAUCUACCUCGUAAUGUAAUUAAGUGGUAAUAUAAAUAAUUAGUUAGAUUUUGAUUCUCAAGAAAAUGAGAAGUACUAAUUUAUAACUUUAUAUAGUAUAAUGAAAUAAUGAAAGUGUUUUAUACUUUAAGUUAGUAAUAUUUGUAUUUUUACUAUAUACGCAAUUAUUUUGUAUGACAGGAAAGAGAACAGAUUGGAAUUGAUAGCAAAAAGCAAUAGAAAUAUAGCCACACAAGUGGAUCAAAAAGUUUUACAAGAAAGCAAAAAGAAAUAGUAAGUUUAUGAUUUUAAACUUAUUCUAAUGAAUGAACUUUUUGUGCCAUUAAAAGGUAAAUAUGCAAAUUACCAGUUAUUGUUUUGUUUUAAUAGUUUUGAUAGUUUCAAUACAUGAUAUUAAACUUAUCGAAAGUUUUGAACUUAGUUGACACAGAUGAUAUGUAUGAAAAAGUUAUUGUUUACAUCUAUUUAGGUAAAAAUACAAAUUUGUUGUUAUUGUUCUAUUUAAACAGUUUAAAUAGCUUCAAUACUUGAUAUUAAACUUGUCCGAUUGAUUGAACUUAGUUUCUAUAGUUGAUAGGGUUGAAAAGUUAUCGUUUAUGUCUAUUUGGGACUAUUUUUGCCUUUAAAAGGCACAAAUACAAAUUAAACCUUUGGAUGGCUUUUAAUAGUUUGAAUGGCUUCAAUCCAUGAUAUUAAACUAGUCCAAAUAAUUGAAUUUGGUUGCCAUGAUCGAUAUGUGUGAAAGGCCAAAAUACUUUUUAUUGUUUGUAUCUAUUUAAGACUAUUGUGUUGUUAAGGGACCAAAAUAUAAAUACAUGACAUUCAAAAUAUUCAAAAUUUUUAAACUUGAUUGACAAGCUUGAUAUGUAUGAAUAAGUUACGAUUGAUAUGUAUCAUAUCAAAUAACAUAUGUUUUUAUAUAAGAGAUUGAGAUGGGGAGUAAAAUUGGAUGUGUGAAACUUUUUCGCUUAAUAUACACAAAAAAGAUAGAUCUUACAUGAAUGUCGAAACACAAAAAAUGAUGAUAAUUUGUAACAUGUAUUUUAACAGAAAGUAAAUAUUUACUCUUUUUAACAUAUUAUCAAUUAAUCAUUAAACUUGAUCGUUGUAUAUGACUAAUUUACAUAAAAAAGCAAAAGAGAAAAUGGUUGUUGAGAUUGAAGUAGCAUAUGAUGGUUCUUUCAACAUGCCAGAAUUGAAAAAUCAGAUAUUCAUAGAAGUUGCUGGAAAAGAAAGGCAUGGACGAGUCUGAAGCCUCGGAUUGGGUCCAACACCAUCUACUUACUAUAGAUAUAGCUCUCAACAAUUUACAUUAUCAACAAGUCAGUCUUCGCAAGAUAUUUCGAUAUUGAGAGAGGAGUUACAAAUUAUGCAACAACAUUUUCAGAGCAGAAAGAGAACAAGAGCAUACCAAAAUUGAGGAAGAACAUGCUAAAAUGGAGCAAGAGCAUGUAAAAUUUUAAUAGUUACAUGAUCAAUUCGAUUAUCUUAUGAAUUUUAUGCAACAACAAUUUUCAAGAACUUAUCUCGAUGGUCCACCAACUCAGGUAUUAUAUUUAGUAAAUAUUUAUCUUUUUUAAUAUAAAAAAAGCUUAUAGUGAAGUAUUAAAAAUUGUAUGCUAUUAUUCAGUAAGUUUUUGAGCAUGCUAAUGAUCAAGGUGAUAAAAUUCCUUCAUCAAUUGGUACCCUUUUAAAAUCUAUGCAAUCAUCAAUUUCAUACAUUUUUAUUUUUAUUUUGUUAAUGUAUUAAAAAAUUUUGAAUGUUAUUAUACUAAUUAUUAAACUUUGAGUUAACUAGAUGUAUAUUUGAACGUGAAUUAAGUUUAUAUUAAUUUUAGUUGUUGAAUUUAACCUCGUUUAUGAAAAUAAUAAAUAUUUACAAAAAUUUUUUAUUUAAAAAAAUACAUUUCUUAAUUUCGUAACGUUUACGUUCAAAAAUAUCGCUAAAUAAAUAAUUUAGUGAUGUUUGUACCAUAAAAUGCCACUAAAAGUAGUAGUGCUCUUACUAAAAAAUGUAUUAAAUUAAUGAUAUUUUUUUGAUAUAAAUGCUACUAAAGUAAUGACGUUUUUUUUUUUAUAUAAAAAUGUCACUAAAUUAGUGACAUCUUAAAGAUACAAAUGCUGCUAAAAUAAUAACGUUUUUUAGAUACAAACGUUACUAAUAUAACGGUACUUUUUAGAUUCAAACAUCGCUAAUAUAAUGGUAUUUUUCAUAUACAAAUACCAUUAAUAUAAUAAUGUUUUAUAAAAAAACUUUGCUAAUUUUUGUGACGUGUUUAUAGUCAACACUCUGACUAAGAUUUUUUUACAAAUAUCAUAAAUUUUUUAAUGACGUUUAUAAAUACCAUUAAACGUUAAAAAAAAUACUACUAAAAAUUUAAACUCCUCUAAUGAUACAUUGAUCUGUCAAAAUCAAUGUGCUGCUUUAAUUGGUUACCGUCUAAAUCCAAUAAUUUUGUGGCUCUACCACCAAAACUUUUCUUCAACAUGUUCGGUCUGACUGUUAGCUAAAAAUGUAGAUAAACGAGUCCAAAACCACAAUUGGUUUGUACGUCGUUAACCGUUCACUGCUCUUCCCGUUUACAGGUUCAACUCUUCGUUUCCUUUCGGCUGCUCUUUUCCUAUACCUUUAAAAAGACCUAAAAAUCAAAUGUCCAGUUUUAAAUUUUAAUGUUUAAAAAUAUAUACUCAAUUAAUUAGAUAUUCUUUUUAAAUUAUUACGUUAGGGUUAAGCUCCACGUGUUCCCAUUUAUCAAGAAAAAGCCGACAACUAAUCCAAAAGUGCCACAUCAAUAUUCAUUAUUGAUUUUCCUCUCUAAGAAUCUGUUUGUUAUGUUUUAAAUUGAGAAAAUUGGAAAUUAAUGGAGUUAAGCUAGCUUAGAGUAAAUAAAAGUGGCUUUCAUUACUUUUCAAAAUAUUUUAAUUUGGAUCAUGUAGCAAUAAUGGCCAUCUCUCAGCACUCAGCAGGGAAGUAGCUAGAGGAAAUGGAUUGUGGUGGACCGCUGCAAUCAAUGUCAGCUAUUCAUUUUUUAAAUUAUUUUCUCAAUGUGGAACCGACGGAGCAGUUGGUGCGUGCGUUUGGGACACACAACUUUUUCCUUUUAAAUUUAAGAUUUUUUUGUUAACGCGUAUUUUAAAAGCAUCUUUUAAUAUGCUGGAAUUAAUUAUUAAUUAUUUUAAUUAACAUAGAAUAUUUUUUAUAAUAAUAAUAAUUUAAUUAAUCUUUAAAAAAUUCAUUACCCUUUAUCUCUGUUGAGAAUUUUGAUUAGUAUAUAUUACUGCUCCUUUUCUCGGGUGGGUCGCAAUGCACCGAUUUCCCUGCCCCAUGCAUUAGCCCCACGUUCUGGGGAUGCCUUAUCCUGAUUAGAUUCCUCGCUGUUUGUUUGUUAAUUGCCCAAGUGGAUCUUAAACUCAUCUUAGUAUUGAUGAAUGCAAUAUGGUAUUGAAGCAGUUAAUUACAUGAACUACUUGAAGUUAAAGCAAAAAUAAAAUGGUUUAGAUUGAUAAAUCUUGUUUUAUCUCCACUAAUCUAAGGGAGUUGAAAAGCCUUAUUUUAUUGUCACUAAUCUUACAAUUUUAAAGUGUUGUGUCUUAUAAAUUACUACUUGUUAUAAUAAAUCUGAAUAUUUUAUAAACAAAAAUAUUUAAAAUGCUAAUUUAAAAAUAUAAUAAAUAAUAUAAUUAUUUUCAUCAAAUUCAAAAAUUUUUAACAUUCGUAAUUUUAUAAAUUAUUAAUUGAUUAUAUAAUAAUAUAGUAAUUAAUUAUUCAAAUAAUUAUAUAAAUGCAAUUUUUAAUUAUGAAUAUAAUUAUUAUUCAUAAUCCAAUUAUAAUAUAAAAAUUAAAUUAUAUAAUAAUGAUAAUAAUUCUUUUAACAAAAAUAAAUAAUUUAAAUUUUUAUUACUCUUAUCAUAUUAAAAUAUAAAUAAUAUAUUAAUACUCGUAAAUUAUUCGAAUUAAAAAAAAAAAGCCAUCAGUUUCAGUACAAACUUACCGUUACUCUCCGUCUCUCUCCAUUACUCUCAGUCUCUUUCCCUCGCCGCCCUCUUUUUCUUCCAACUUUUAUCUUCCAGAACUUAGAAACAAAAACCAACCAAAGUCCACAAGUAUAAUUUAGAAUUUUUUGUUUUAUAAUUUUAGAUACAUAUAAUUUACAAUGAUAUAAAAUAAGACAUGAAGGUUUAAAAUUAAUAAAAAUAAUAUAUAAAUUUGAAAAAAUACUAAAAAUUAUACUUUAUAUUUAUUGUAUUCACAUGAAUUGAAAAAAGAUAUUAAGAAUGAAAACAAAAAUAAAAAACACCUUAUUUUAAAAAUAAAUUUUAAUAUUAUUUUAAAUAUUAUCAUAAUAAUAUAAUUAUCUAAAUAAUUUUAUUAUUAAAAUGAUUUUAUUAUUCGUGAUUUAAAAAUAAUGUUAUUUGAUUAAUAAUAAUUAAUUCAUAAAAAUUAAGUAUUAUUUGAUUAAUAUGAUUAAAAAUUAAAAAUUAUAUUAUUUAAAAAUAAAAAAUAAUUAUAUAUAUUUUAAUAAUUAAACAAAUUAAUGAUUUUAAUGCUGAUGAAAAUAAUAAUGUGCAUGUAUCCUUUUGUCCACAAUCUCGCAAUUCCCUUCUGCACUAGUUUGUGGAGUCUCUUACGGUGGCGUAGGUUUGGUAGUCAACAAAGAACAAAACUCUUUUCGGUAGCCAAAUUUUCGACAAUGGAAACAUAUUAAAAGGAUGCAUGCGUGACCUCUUAUUCCAUCAAUUAAAGACGCUUCACAGUCAAGUUUUCCUCUAAGGUUUUUGCGCAUCGUCCUUCUCAUCUUUGGAAAAGGUCACUCAUCUUCGGUCUCGUCAAUAUCAGAAUUCAGAAAUACUCUCCUUAGAUUGCAUUUCAAUAUCCAUUCAUUCCAUGAAGAAUUCGAAUUGUCCUUCAUACCCAUCAACAAACCCCUGUAAGAUAACGGCCUUCAUAGAUUCUACCAUUAAUUGCUUAAGUAUUUUCUGUAACAUCAAUACCACGUUACACAGAUAUUUGAAUUUUUCCUGCAUUUCACUUGCACAAUUUUGGCUUAGGAUAGAAGACUUAGUUUGCAUGCCGAGAAAUAGGGCAAAACAAAGCAUUAUAUGUUGCAGAAUAAACUUAUAGCUACUACCACUGAUUGGGAAGGAAGGGUUGAUUAUGAAGUAGGUUAUCAGAUAGUAACUCUCCUCAAAGAAGAGCUUUUAGAGUUUCUUUAACUUGGUUAUUCCUCAAAAAUUUUGAGCUGUAUGUAUAAGUGGGGAGGAUGAACCAAAGAUAGAAAAGGUAGCUUUGAGCUGAAUAGCGAAGGCUUUAGGCGAUAGAGGCGUGGCAACUGCGACUUAAAACACUUGGGUUUUUUUUUUGGGAAAUGAAUCGGUGUAUGGAGAGAGCACAGGAGCAAAAAAAAAAAAAAAAAAAGGUCUUUCUGAUGGGCUUAGGUGAUUUGGAUUUUGGACUGACACAUAGGGUCGCUCAACCAGGGGAAGUUUGGGGCUUGGAGUUUCAUAAAAACCUAAGAUUUUUGUUUCAAAGUAUCUAAAAUUUAUAAUGCAAUGCAAAACAGGUUUUAAGCCAUUCUUCUUCUUAAUUAUAAAGUUCAAAAGUAUGACAUUAAAAACCAAUGAUUAAUAAAAAAAAAGUGCAGGAAAUUUAUUUGACUUCUUGUAAAGUGAAACAUAAAAUGAUAUAAAAUUAAAAGUAAAUAAUGAAAUUUAAAAUGAUAAUACAAAGUAACAAUGAAAUUUAAAAAUGGUAAUACAAAGUUAAAAUUAGGUAAGGCUUGAAUUUAAACAUGACUGAGAUUAAAGAAAGUUAAAAAGUGAACAAUCCAUAUUUUAAAUUUAUAUAUUACAUAUCUCUGAAUAAAAUUUUGGAAUAUAACUCAAGAUUUCACUAAAAAACUCAUUUAUAUUACACUUCUCUGAAUAAAAAAUUAAAAUAUAAACAAAUGUUUCAACAAAAAGUUCAUUUAUAUUUUUACGGAGAACAGAUCGAAUAUGUGAUCUUCCUCGUGUUAACAAAACAUAAAAAAUUAGCCUAUUCUCACAUGCUGAGAGGUGCUGGUGCGUGCGCGUCUAUUUCUCUUUCCCUAUAUUUGUGGUAUAUAUACGUACCUGUUUGGAGUUUAAAAUUUUAGAAUUAUUUUAAGGGAUAUAUUGAUUUUUAUAUUAUUUGAAUCCAAUUUGGGUCUAAAUUUAAAAUUUUAAUUUUUUUUAUUUAUUAUUUUAUUUAUAAGUUAUUUAUCUUCAUUAAAUUUUUAUUUAGUGAUUUUUUUCUUAUAUAUCUUUAUUUUUUUCUUAAUUAUUUUUAACUUUGUUUUAUUUUUAUUUUUUAAAAAUAAAAUAAAACAAAAAUGGAAAAGAGUUGAAAAAAAUUUGGGUGAAAUUGAAUUUUUAAAGGAUAUGAAUUUAUUCAUUCGAGGGUUUUGUACUAAAACCAAUUUCUUUAUCAGAUAUACAAUGCGUUGAUAAAAUUUAAGGAGUUGAUUUUGAAACAAAUGGAGUAGGAUGUUUAUGAAAUUCAUAGAUUAUUUUAAAGAUAACUUUUUAGAAUAAUCUUUGAUUGAGUAAGAGUUUUUAUCAAGUUGGGACUAUACUCUUAUAAAUGCCCUACAAGUCUGCAUAAUUAAGACAAUAAUCAUAAAGGAGAAUUUGAGAGAAAGAAAGUUUUAGACGAUUCAAGUUUAAGUGUUAGGUUAUUUUCAAUUUCCGGUAAUUUUUCACAAGAUUUCCAAGCUCCAAUAAGAUUUUUAGAUUGUGGUGAUAUUUGCUGAAAAUCCUGACGAAGAUUUUGAUGAUAUCUCUAUAUUCCAAUGAUGAUUCUUAGUUUUCAAAUGUUAACCCGAUUUAAUCUAUGUUGUAGGUUUGCCUUUUUUAAUUUAUUGUAUUUUAAUUAGUUUAUUUUAUGUUAUUUUUUAUCAUAUUUUACUUAGGGUAAGAAUUUUUAGGAUUAGAUAAAAUUAUUAAUUUUAUUAAUAAAAAUAAUUAGAAAUAAAUUAAAAUAAAAAUAAAAUUUUAACAAAAUUUUGAAAAAUAAAUGAUAAUUAUCCAAAAAUAAAAUUUAUAAAAAUUAGAAAUGAAUAAAUUUUUUAAAAAAUUUCCAGGUCACAGAUUUUCUGCAAAUGAAUAAUUUAAUAAAAUUGACUAUAUUUUUUUUUAUAUAUUAAAAAUAUAUAAAAAUAUUAUUAAAUAUUUUUUCAGUAUUCUAUAAUAUUUAUUUAUUAAAUUUACCAAACCCUAUUUUAAUUUUUGUUUACUGCAUUUUUAAAACUGCUUUACUUUAACAAUAGUUUUUUUGUAUGGAAACUCCAACCGAAUCAAAAGAUCCCUGAUUAAGGAUCCCAUCCACUGACAUUCUGUUGAUAGUUCUGUUGAGAUAUAGGGUAAUGAAUCUGCCAACUUGUUUAAGUGACGAUAGAAAGCUCACAGAUAGGUUGUUUUUAAAAUAUUUCCUAUAAUAGAACAAAACAACUAUCAUUAAAUUAAAAGAAAUGAUAAGCUUAUUUUAAAAUUUUCAAGAAUUUAUUUGUAAGUAGUUGGUUUAAUCGGUUAAGAUCAUUUUUUUUUACGAAAUUAUUUUAAGUUUAAGUCUUAUUAGUAAUAAUUUAUUAAAAUCAUCUCGAAUGUAAAAUUUAUAAUCAUUUAUUUUAGAUUAUCAGAUAUAAUAUAUCUUGCUCUUAACUUAAGAAAUUGGAAACUUAUCUAUCAAAGAUUUUUUCCUACCAAAAAAAAAAUUCCAAGAAUUUGAUUGAAAGUUUGAGACGCACUUUACGCAUUCAUUUAUUGUAAAAUCAAAUUACAAAAAAUAAAAAUUAGAUCAUAAUUGGCAAAUCAAACAUCCAGUCAAGUUAAAUCUAAAACCGCUAUAUGUUUAUUUGGGCCAGCUAAACUUAGGCCUAUUACAAUGUUAUGGUCCAAAAAUAAUAAAGAUGGGCUGGGAUAUAUUUCAACUUGUAUGUUCGAGCCGGUAUAUGUCGUUGAUCUCGAGUCAUAUUCCACGCACAAAAAAUAGUCAUGUAAUUUAUUUGAGAAAGCCAAAAACUAUACCACAAAUUAUUUAAAUAACACAAAAAAAAAAGGUAUACAACAAAUUUUUAUUAAAGAUACAUAUAAUGGAUGUUCCCAAACGGACGCUCCAAUGAAUAGAACUUAGAAAUUUGAUAAUGGAAGUAGCAGAUUCAAAUAUUGAGAAGAAAAAAUGGAGAUUAGGGGUGGAAGAGUAGUAGCUACUUGUGUUUUUUGAAUAUGCAGGCCAAGUCCGCAAGACACAGGAUAUUUUCUUUGUUGUAAAAUAGAUAUAUAUAAUUAUUUAGGAGAUUGCACAUGGUCAAUAUCCUUGAUCUUCAACAUGCCUUUUAUUUAUGCUUAGCUAGUCUAUAAAAUCCUAUUUAAUUAUUGAGAAUAAAUCAUCACCUCUUCUUCCUCAGCCUAGUAAAAGAGAAGGGAUACUCUGUUCAUGUCUAAAGAAAUUUUGCGGAUCAACCAUUCUCUUCACAUGAAUCAAUCGGUUGAAGUUGUUGUUGAAAUAUUUAAGACCCCAUUUGCUUGCUUGUCUAUAGCUCGUGUAUCUGCCUUUGUUAUUGCUUCCAAGGUCAAGAUCCCUGUAGUUCAUGUAAGCUGAUCUGGGAGAUUUUGAAACGUAGGGUUCCAUGUACCUGUAAAGCCUUCUCAUAUAACUUAUAUGCUUCUGAGAUGCAGAAGCAUCUUCUUCUUCCCAUAUCACUAUAUAAUGGAUGUUGAACAAAUUCCCUGCCCUAUGAGGGUAAGGAGUCUCAGACUCCGGAAUCUCAUCCAUUAUGCCUUCGUAAGGACUAAAGAUAAGCUCCACCGCCCAGGUUCCUCCUCGUAAAACCUUUGCCACAGACCUUCUAAUGAAGUUUCAGGAAUAGGUUCCUUAACAUAGUCCGAUUUCCCUUUGAAGAACACUGCUGUACCUGUCCUGUUAAGCAAAAUAUCUAACGAAUUAAUAGAGAAAAGAAACAUUAAAUAAAUUAAUAAAACAAAAAAAAUGAAAAGUUAAUUAUAAUCAAUCUAAACAAAAUUUAAAAAAAAGACUAAAGAGAAACAAAUAAAUUAAUUAAAUAUUUAAUAUAAAAAUAUUUGAAUUAGAACAUAAAUAAAACAUUAUAUUUGUUCUCAAAAAUAAAAACAUACUUUUAUCUAACUUUUUUAACAAUAUUUAAAUAUCUUAUCUUUUAUAUAAAAAUGCAAACUCUCAAUUCAUCCAUGCUUCCUAGUACAUAAUUCAUUAACUUAGAAUGAACCAUCAUAUAAGUUCUAAAUAAAUCCUAAUACCCAGUUAAUUCAAAUUUAAAUUUAUUUUCUUUUGCUUAAUUAUUAAUUUUAAUAUAAACCAUAUUUUAAGGAGCACUAAAGGUAGAAAUUGGACUUACUUGUUCAUGAGUAUAACAUGGCUUUCAUUUAUUUUUAGCUUUUGUCGAUUUCUGUCAAAACCAAUAAAUCAUAAUCAUCAGAUAAAAAAAUUUAUCUUCUUCAAUUUCUAAUUCUAAUAAUAAUAAAUAAAAUAAUCUUGGUUUGAAUGGGAUGGCCUCUCUUAUGCUCUUUAUUUUCGUUCUUAAAUUCUAAUUUCAGUAUAUAAUAGUUUAUUAAACACGCACUUAAACAUAUACAUAUAUAUGUAUGCAUGUAUAUAUAUAUAGAAUCAUAAUUAAAUUGAAAACAUGAUAAAUUAACAUUUGAUAAAUUUGAAUUUAAAAUGUAUGCUAAAUUUUUUAUUUUUUGAUAGAUUUUGAUUUAAAUUUAAAUAAUUAUACAAAAUAUUAGAUAUAAAUAAUUUGUUAAAUAGAAUUAUUUGGUAGAAAAUAAAAUUUUAUUAAGUAUAUAUAUUUGGAAUUGUGAUUAAAUUUAAACAUAAAAGAUAAAUUAUAAUUUAAUAUAUUUGAAUUCAAAAUUUAUAUAAAAUUUUCAGUCUUAGAUUUUGAUUUAAAUUUAAAUAAUUAUCCAAAAUAUUAAAUUUGAAUAACUUACUAAAGAAAUUUAUUUGACAAAUAAAAUAAUAUAAAUAUUAUCUUAUGUGUCAUCAAAAGAGAUUAUUCACCUAAAUAUCUACAUAAAUAAUUUUUAUCAUGUAAUCUUAUAUAUUGUAAUAUAUAUAUAUAUAUAUAUAUGAUUAUACGAUUUAGUUUACCAAUAAAAGUUACUUUAAUUCCACUAUAGAAUGUUACCCCGUUCAACAACUAGUAACACUGCAUCGACCAAACUAUAAACAAAGGGAAUUUUAUAUGCAGCCAUUUUUUCUCUUUAUAACCACAUGUUAAAUACAUCCAUAUUUCAAACCCUCUUUAGGAAAACUUUUUCACCACAACCAAUUGAAUCACAAGUGCAUUUACAUUCAAACCAUUAACAGCCAAAAUCACAACCUCACCCAUUUUCCUUUUGUCUGAAAUCACCGUCAGAUAUUAGCUAUGUGUAAGUUGUUUUUCUGAAUCUCAAAUCAGAACGCUUUCUAAUCAUUUUCCUUAUAGUCUUUGUCGCGACAUGCUUUGGUUUCGCAUUCCACCUUCAUUUUCGGUAUCCUAGUAUUUUUAAAAUCACUAUAGUACUUUAAUCAUUAAGAUGAUUUUAUUAUUAAAAUGAUCUUAUCAUUCGUAAUAAUGAAUCAUUUUAUUUGAUUAAGAAUAAUUAAUUUUUAAUAAUUAAAGUUCUUUAUGUUCGGUGAUUUUAAAAAUCAAAUAUUAUUUUGUUUAAAAGUACUAAAAUAACAACGUACAUUAUAAUAAUUACAUAAGUUAUGAUUUUAAUGUUAUUUAAAGAAAAUAAUUUGUAUAUAAAAUAUUAAUAAUAUUUUAUUUAUUUCAUAAUAAAUAUAAUUAAAUUAUUAAAUUAAAAAUAGAUUUAUUGACAAUAAACUAGUUUUGAUAGUAUAAAUUAUAUUUGAAUUAAAAAAAUAAAACUAAUAUAUUAAAAUCAAAAGAUUAUAUUAUAAAUAAAUUUAAAAAAAUUAAAAAAUUUGCACAAAACUUAUUACAAUAAAUAUUAGUUUGAAAAUAUAACAAUUAUAAUAUAAACUAAUAACAAUUAAUUAUAAGAAAAAAAUUUUAAUUAACAUAUUAAAUGGGUAAUAUUAACUUUUAUUAAUUUUAUAUAUUACUUCAUCUCGGUGAUAAAAGUUUUUCACCUCUUUAGAUGGGAAUUAAAUUACCUUCUAAGAUAGUGAUCAAAUUACUAUCGAUGAUUUAAUAUUACUGUUAUGUAGGAUUAUUAAAUGGUUACCAAAUAUGUUGAUCUGAUGCCUAUAAAAUAAAUGAUGUGGUAAAUCAUCAUAAGUUUUUGAUUAAAUCACUAUACCAAAUACUAUUUAGAUAAUUAUAAAUAUGAUGUUAGUUGUAUAAAUAAGAAGAUGAAGUUGAGUUUAUGAAGUAAGAUUGAAAGAAGUGAAUAUUAGAUGGUAUGUUUGAAGGCUCAAAAGUAUUUAAUAGGCUAAUUAAUUAAUUUCACUUUAUGAGUAAUUUUAUAUAAAAAAUUUUAAUUUUUGGUAUAAAAUGAAACAAUGUGGCUGAUAUAAAAUAUAAAAAAUCUAAAUUUUUUUAGAUGUAAAUUAUAGAACUUUUUUUAUCUAAGGGCUUUCAAAUAUUUUCAAAUUUGAUCUCGCACAUUAAUUUGAUCAAUUUUCUGUUAUUUUUUUAGCUUUUUGUCUUAAUUUUUUUCUUCCUCUUGUAUUUAUUUUACCUAUUUUGCUUUUAUUUACUUAUUUGUUAUUUUUUCAAAAAUAAAAAAAAUAGAAAAACCAAAAAAUAUUUAAGAAAAAGAAGAAAAAUAAAGAGGGAGAAUUUUUUUGGAACAAGAAUUCUUUUAAACACUUAAACUUUUUUUCUUUUGAUUUUUUGUAUUGGGUAAUAAAUUAAUAAAUAAAAUUUAUUAUUAUAUAAUAAAUAAAUAACUUCUAUUUUUAUUUUUUAUUGUAUAACAUUAAUAAAUAAAUAAAUUUUAAUAUUAUAUAAUAAAUUAAUAAAUAUAUUUUAUUUUAUUUUUUUAUUAAUUUUAAAUUACUUAUUAAUUUUUAUUCUAAAUACUAUUAAUGAUCAUUUUAUUUUCUCAUUACAAUUUAUUCUACCAUCACCAUUAUUUUUUGAUUGAAAUACAUAUAUAAUUAUUAAUUUUAAUCUUAUCAUUACAAUAAUUAAUUUUAUUAUUAUUUUUAAUUUCAUCAAAAUUAAUUUUAUCACUCAUCUAAAUAAACUUGAUCUUGUCGAGGAAGCCAAUGAACUCUUUGUGACUAGAGAACGUUUUGGUGCCAUUUUGGUUGUCGAAGACUUAUCAAUUAGUGAUCGGCAGCCAAAUUUCUCUUUCGAAUGAUGCACCGUAAGUGUACCUAUGAAAAUCAUAAAAGAAAUCUUACCUUUCUACGACGGAAACCAACUUGAGAAGAUGAUUCCCAACGUCCAAAUGCUCCAGCAAUUAUCACUCCUCUCGUGGUUAUUUUGUCUCUCUAGCACAGUGAAAUAUGAGAGGAUAAAUAGGAAAAAAAAUUAUUUUUCUCUCGAAAUCUAAUAAAAUUUCUUAGGAAAGAGGAUUUAGAUUUUUUCUAAUUUUCUUUUUAUUGACAAUGUUGUUAUUUGUGAUGGAAAUAAGAAUUUAUCAAAUUAAUUAUAAAAUCAAAUUACGAAAAAUAAAAAUUAGAUUAUAAUUGGCGAAUCAAACAUCCAGUCAAAAAUCUAAAACCCCUGUAUGUUAUUAUUUGGGCCAGCUAAAACUUCGGCCUAAAACAAUGUAUGGUCCAAAAAAAAUAAAGAUGGGCUGGGAUAUAUUACAACUUGUAUGCUCGAGCCGGUGUCUGUCGUUGAUCUCGAGUCAUAUUCCACGCACAAAAAAUAGUCAAUGUAAUUUAUUUGAGAAAGCCAAAAACUAUACAACAAAUUAUUUAAAUAACACAAAAAAAAAAGAUAUACAACAAAUUUUUAUUAAAAAUACAUAUAAUGGAUGUUCCCAAACGGACACUCCAAUGAAUAGAACUUAGAAAUUUGAUCAUGAAAGUAGCAGAUUCAAAUAUUGAGAAGAAAAGAUGGAGAUUAGGGGUGGAAGAGCAGCAGCUACUUUCUUGUGUAUUUUGUAUAUGCAGGCCAAGUCCGCAAGACACAGGAUAUUUUCUUUGUUGUAAAAUGGAUAUAUAUAAUUAUUUAGGAGAUUGCACAUGGUCAAUAUCCUUGAUCUUCAACAUGCCUUUUAUUUUUGCUUAGCUAGUCUAUAAAAUCCUAUUUAAUUAUUGAGAAUAAAUCAUCAUCUCUCCUUCCUCAGCCCAGUAAAAGAGAAGGGAUACUCUGUUCAUGUCUAAAGAAAUUUUGCGGAUCAACCAUUCUCUUCACAUGAAUCAAUCGGUUGAAGUUGUUGUUGAAAUAUUUAAGACCCCAUUUGCUUGCUUGUCUAUAGCUCGUGUAUCUGCCUUUGUUAUUGCUUCCGAGGUCAAGAUCCCUGUAGUUCAUGUAAGCUGAUCUGGGAGAUUUUGAAACGUAGGGUUCCAUGUACCUGUAAAGCCUUCUCAUAUAACUUAUAUGCUUCUGAGAUGCAGAAGCAUCUUCUUCUUCCCAUACCACUACAUAAUGGAUGUUGAACAAAUUCCCUGCCCUAUGAGGGUAAGGAGUCUCAGACUCCGGAAUCUCAUCCAUUAUGCCUCCGUAAGGACUAAAGAUAAGCUGCACCGCCUCAGGUUCCUCCUCGUAAAACCUUUGCCACAGACCUUCUAAUGCAGUUUCAGGAAUAGAUUCCUUAACAUAGUCCGAUUUCCCUUUGAAGAACACCGCUGUACCUGUCCUGUUAAGCAAAAUAUCUAAC
Molecule: long non-coding RNA, 18525 nt
Filed under: Durio zibethinus
Lineage: Eukaryota; Viridiplantae; Streptophyta; Magnoliopsida; Malvales; Malvaceae
Description: long non-coding RNA (DZIB_LNC001636)
Source: RNAcentral